UUUUAACUGAUUAUAGAUUCUUUUGUUUUCGCUGGAGCUAUUCAAAAAGACCUUGGCAAUACUAUUGACAGAAUCAAUUCUUCUAUUGAAAUACCCAUGUGUUUCUAUGUGUUCCUUUAAAGUGGACCAAAUAUAUAAAGUAGGACAUUUUUCAUGAAUGUCAGUGCAAAUCGUGUACAGUCGAACUUAGCAAGUGACAAAGUAUCAAAAUGUUUAAGGCGUUUUUGAUCACAAUGCUGGCUCUCUUCGCCUGCGCGGCGGCCGACCCGUAUGUGGUGCCUCUGCCGUACGCUGCAACUGCCGGCUACCCCCUUUCCUACGUUUCAUCCUUAUCAGUACCUACCGUCUACAGCUCUGCGUUCACCGGCUUCUACCCACAAAUCGCAUACGCAAAUGAUUAUAUCUUUCGUAAAUAAAAUGUUAAAGUAAAUACAUACAUCUGGAACUUCUUCUGUUACGAUAAAUAAAAUUUACUGUUGUUGGUUA
Long non-coding RNA from Bombyx mori (domestic silkworm), 486 nucleotides. RefSeq lists it as uncharacterized. The record is from RefSeq and is a predicted model, not a curated record. Lineage: Eukaryota; Metazoa; Arthropoda; Insecta; Lepidoptera; Bombycidae. The transcript has 2 exons.